GGCCGUUUAACUCAGUUGGUAGAGUAUCUGAUUCCAGUCCAGAAAGUCAAGCGUUCAAAUCGCUUAAUGGUCA
This 73-nucleotide transfer RNA is filed under the name Penicillium decumbens. It matches the Rfam family "tRNA". Rfam says of the family: Transfer RNA (tRNA) molecules are approximately 80 nucleotides in length. Their secondary structure includes four short double-helical elements and three loops (D, anti-codon, and T loops). Further hydrogen bonds mediate the characteristic L-shaped molecular structure. tRNAs have two regions of fundamental functional importance: the anti-codon, which is responsible for specific mRNA codon recognition, and the 3' end, to which the tRNAs corresponding amino acid is attached (by aminoacyl-tRNA synthetases). tRNAs cope with the degeneracy of the genetic code in two manners: having more than one tRNA (with a specific anti-codon) for a particular amino acid; and 'wobble' base-pairing, i.e. permitting non-standard base-pairing at the 3rd anti-codon position. Lineage: Eukaryota; Fungi; Ascomycota; Eurotiomycetes; Eurotiales; Aspergillaceae. The record is from Rfam by way of RNAcentral.